CGUUGUGAAGAGAAAAACCGGGAGCGUUUCUUGUUUUGGGCUAACGGCGAGAAAGACAAGAGACUGCAGUCAAACACUCUUCAACUCGACUCGGCGUCCUCGACUCGACUAACGCUUCGUUUUGAUGGAAGAGAACGGACGGCUUGGGGUUGGUCUGUGGAGGCAGCCAACGGGUGGGGAAAGGGAUGGCGCGCGCGGGGUUUAGUUGCUACAUUUCUGACGCUAGGGGAGCCACCAUCCAACGAUUCUUUUCCUUCUUUCUUUUUUUUUUAGAGGAAAAAGGUAAGAAAAACAAGAAUCCGACCAACCGCCAUGUGUACGAAAACACCUUUUCCUUUGCAAAAACCUUUUUUACCUACCUAUAACCUUCGAAAUAUGUCUGGAAACGUCUUCCCCAAAGGGAUAACAACUGCAUCUAAACGUUAAUGCAUUCUCGUGGGGAAAGAAGAAAACAUGGCGAAAAGGUUUUCUCCCAAAAAGAAAGAAAAAAAAAAAUCAAUGGUAGCCUUGCAAACGUAUGGCAUUCUUAAUUCCAUUCUAUUUGGCAUUUAAUCCCCUGAAGAAUGCGUGUGUACUCGAAUGGCGACUGUCGUUUCCAAACCAGUUUCCAGUCAGCAACAAUUGGUUCCACGAUCUGCGGGGGAAAGAAAGAGAGAAGCCAUACCGGGACAAGAAACAUACACGCCGGUGAUGUCAACAAGUAGCCAAUGACUCAUUGACUUCUUUCUUUGCCAACGUCAUAUUAUUAUUAAUUUCAACAGGUGGCUUCUUGUUUCUUCCUCCCACAAAGACAAAAAUAAAACGCAGAUACGUUUUAAUGCAAUGGAAAUAACAUUCUUCUUGAAAGCUAUAUAGCUAUAUACUAGUGUAACAGUUUCAUGAACAUUUCUCAACCGUGAAAAAGUCAAGAAAACAAAUGUAGGUUAACGAGGUGCCAUGUAACGGAAAAGAGUAAACUGAAGAUUAUCAUCUGUUCGAGGAGGAAGAAGAAAAAAAUAGUUGCCUUGUUUGCUCGGGCCAUUGACUUUAGGUCGAUAUAUAUUUGCGGACGAGGAAAUGCGAGAAAAUUAUUUUGUGUGAUUUCAACCAAUUGGCGAGUCAUCGUCAAGUAUGACACAAAAUAGCCACUUUUCGGUUAGCUCGAGGGCAUCGUUGGAUUCGAAACAAAAGGAUGCCUGGUAAAAAGUGAAAAGCUACACACGCUAAGCGAAGGCGGUCAAGACAGACCGCCAGCAGCACUGUGUUUUUGCCAGUGAGUGGUCGGAGCCAUUUUGUUUUGUUGGUCGGUUGGGAUAUUUCAGCCCGUCACUCGAUACUUCAUGGCUAGACUUCCGUCUGUGCCCCGUACAUCGUUAAGUGUAGUCUCUCUCUAGCUUUAUUGCAUAGCCCUAUGACGAAAAAAAACUCGUUUCUUUUCAUGUUUUUGGAAACACUGCAAUCCUUUUUUAAUUUACGAUUCAAGUCUGCACACAGCGGCCAUUGAAGUCUGCUGCUCUUCCUAGAUAUCCACUUAUGAAACAAAAUUGAACUGUGACGUUUCUCGUAAACACAAUUGAAGUAAGCAGCUUUAAAAAAAGUCGCAUGAACAAUGUGUUCUGCAUUAUUGCAAUUUUGAACAAUUGUCGGAAGACGGCAAUUGCGUGUGCAGAUGACACUAAAAGAUGGGGCAGUACCUGUUUAUUACUAGCUCAUCAUAUAGCUAUCACGCUCGGUUCGUUCACUUAAUAGGGCUUAUGUCGUCGUUCAACUCUCAAAGUCGU
Molecule: long non-coding RNA, 1760 nt
Filed under: Daphnia magna
Lineage: Eukaryota; Metazoa; Arthropoda; Branchiopoda; Diplostraca; Daphniidae
Description: uncharacterized LOC116918482
Source: RNAcentral